This 231-nucleotide unclassified non-coding RNA is filed under the name Hevea brasiliensis (rubber tree). The record is from RNAcentral. Lineage: Eukaryota; Viridiplantae; Streptophyta; Magnoliopsida; Malpighiales; Euphorbiaceae.
CUUCAUUUUUACUUUUCCUCGGCCCUCUUCUCUCUUGUUUCAAUGACGGUCUUUACAAAGCCCACCUUGUUUCAAUGAGAAAACCACCUCUGCUUUUCUAUAACUGUGUCUAUAACUGUGUCUAUACUCUUCUUUCCAAGGAAAAUGAAGAGAGUGCAACUACUCUUUCUAGUCUUUGUGAUCAGUCUUAGUCUAAGAAACGGAUAACAAAGAAGAAAAUUUUUCUUCUUU